Anopheles arabiensis is the source of this 1154-nucleotide long non-coding RNA. RefSeq lists it as uncharacterized. The record is from RefSeq and is a predicted model, not a curated record. The transcript is spliced from 4 exons. NCBI's taxonomy places the organism in Eukaryota, Metazoa, Arthropoda, Insecta, Diptera, Culicidae.
GGACCAUUGUGUUACAAAAUGCACCACAGAAGUGUACGCGGGGACAUCUUCUUUCCGGUGUUACGAUCCAUCACAUCAGUCUAUUCCUCGUCUGGUAGAUACUUCCGGUGUUGGGGAGUGUUGGGAACUGCUGAAAGAAAAAAAAAUAGUGUGCAUCUCCCGAGACAGAGUGAUAGUGCUGUUUUGUUUUGUUGGGCGUUGAAGAGGAGCAUUGUGGUUGACGCGCGCGUUAUUGUGUAAAUCGAAAUUGAACGAGUUUCGGUGUGAGUGACAAAGGCGCGCUAGACGUGGGGGGCCCGAAUACUACUCCACCGCGAGAUUGCUGUCGGCUCCUCGGCGCCAUUGUGCCAUGAUCCGGAGUAGUGGAAUGGAAAAGCACAAAACACAUCUUCCGGACUGCCGGAAGCUUAACGUCACCGAUGGAAUCCCCGGCCCCCUCCGGCUUGUUGUUGUUGCACGUGCUGCAGUACCUUUUUAAAAAGGGGAGCGAGUAAUGCAUGCGGUUGACGCGCUACCUUCACACGAAAACUAUCUUUCCGGAUUGCAUUUGUUUCCACGAACAGCGGAAAGACGAGAGAGUUGAGCGCUAUGCCUCAAAAUUCUUAACAACCAAAACGGAAGGCGAUAAAUGGACUAAUUUGUUCGGAUGGAAACACUACACUUUGCAGUCUUGGAAUGCCGGCACGGGAAUGUUUCACCGAACUAAUUAAGUAUAUAAACACUGUGCUCGACAAAGAAGACUAAUACAGUAGUGGAAGUGAGCAAUACAAAUGUUGAAGAUUAAAAAUUCGAAAGCCAAAUAGUUGCUCAAAAUGGAAUCAUUCUGGUAUUAACGCAUUCAACGAAAGAGAAUCAGUCUAGUCUGAGGCUCUUAUCACUGGAAUCCGACCUCCAGAAGUAUACACUGCACAGAAGACAAGGGAACAACGAAAUUGAAAUGGAGGAUAUGACCAUCUGUAAAAUAGGAUCUUUCAUCCCAAAUUUGAGACAUUGCAAGAAAUCUCAUGGUGACUUUAAAGCUCCAACUCUUUGCCGUGAUAUCUUUUUUUAAGAAUCAGAUUAAUUUUGACCAAAUUUGAAAGCAGCGUUGACACUUUUAUCGUAAUGUCCUAGAAGUCUUAAAACAGCUUCAUCACGAACUGGUUUGAGUCCCG